AUUGAACGCUGGCGGUAUGCUUUACACAUGCAAGUCGAACGGUAACAGGGAGCUUGCUUCGCUGACGAGUGGCGAACGGGUGAGUAAUAUAUCGGAACGUACGCAAGUGUGGGGGAUAACGUAGCGAAAGUUACGCUAAUACCGCAUACGAUCUAAGGACGAAAGCAGGGGACCUUGGGGCCUUGUGCCCCUGGAGGGGUCGAUAUCUGAUUAGCUAGUUGGUGAGGUAAAGGCUCACCAAGGCGACGAUCAGUAGCUGGUCUGAGAGGACGACCAGCCACACUGGAACUGAGACACGGUCCAGACUCCUACGGGAGGCAGCAGUGGGGAAUUUUGGACAAUGGGCGCAAGCCUGAUCCAGCAAUGCCGCGUGAGUGAAGAAGGCCUUCGGGUUGUAAAGCUCUUUUGUCAGGGAAGAAACGGGAUUGGCUAAUAUCCAGUCCUAAUGACGGUACCUGAAGAAUAAGCACCGGCUAACUACGUG
This 484-nucleotide ribosomal RNA is filed under the name uncultured bacterium. RNAcentral describes it as "partial 16S ribosomal RNA". It matches the Rfam family "Bacterial small subunit ribosomal RNA", at positions 30 to 507 of the family's 1533-position model. The record is from RNAcentral.